Bos taurus (domestic cattle) is the source of this 72-nucleotide non-coding RNA. The record is from Rfam. Lineage: Eukaryota; Metazoa; Chordata; Mammalia; Artiodactyla; Bovidae.
UCCCUGGUAGCUCAGACGGUAAAGAAUCUACCUGCAAUGUGGAAGACCCAGGUUCAAUGCCUGGGUUGGGAA